UUACGGCCACAUCACACUGAAACACCGGUUCCCGUACGAUCACCGAAGUUAAGCAACGUCGAGCCUGGUCAGUACCUAGAUGGAUAGCCGCUUGGCAAUAACAGGUUAUGUA
This is a non-coding RNA of Acanthosepion pharaonis, 112 nucleotides long. Lineage: Eukaryota; Metazoa; Mollusca; Cephalopoda; Sepiida; Sepiidae. The record is from the annotation of a GenBank genome assembly.